GUGCCAGCCGCCGCGGUAAUACGUAGGGGGCAAGCGUUGUCCGGAAUCAUUGGGCGUAAAGCGCGCGUAGGCGGUCCGGUAAGUCCGCUGUGAAAGUCAAAGGCUCAACCUUUGAAUGCCGGUGGAUACUGUCGGACUCGAGUCCGGAAGAGGCGAGUGGAAUUCCUGGUGUAGCGGUGGAAUGCGCAGAUAUCAGGAGGAACACCAAUAGCGAAGGCAGCUCGCUGGGACGGUACUGACGCUAAGGCGCGAAAGCGUGGGGAGCGAACAGGAUUAGAAACCCCUGUAGUCC
This 292-nucleotide ribosomal RNA is filed under the name uncultured bacterium. Its description in RNAcentral is "partial 16S ribosomal RNA". It matches the Rfam family "Bacterial small subunit ribosomal RNA", at positions 505 to 796 of the family's 1533-position model. The record is from RNAcentral.